UCUUUUCCCACCGGAGCUUGCUCCACCGGGAAAAGAGGAGUGGCGAACGGGUGAGUAACACGUGGGUAACCUGCCCAUCAGAAGGGGAUAACACUUGGAAACAGGUGCUAAUACCGUAUAACAAUCGAAACCGCAUGGUUUCGUUUUGAAAGGCGCUUUACGGUGCCGCUGAUGGAUGGACCCGCGGUGCAUUAGCUAGUUGGUGAGGUAACGGCUCACCAAGGCCACGAUGCAUAGCCGACCUGAGAGGGUGAUCGGCCACAUUGGGACUGAGACACGGCCCAAACUCCUACGGGAGGCAGCAGUAGGGAAUCUUCGGCAAUGGACGAAAGUCUGACCGAGCAACGCCGCGUGAGUGAAGAAGGUUUUCGGAUCGUAAAACUCUGUUGUUAGAGAAGAACAAGGGUGAGAGUAACUGUUCACCCCUUGACGGUAUCUAACCAGAAAGCCACGGCUAACUACGUGCCAGCAGCCGCGGUAAUACGUAGGUGGCAAGCGUUGUCCGGAUUUAUUGGGCGUAAAGCGAGCGCAGGCGGUUUCUUAAGUCUGAUGUGAAAGCCCCCGGCUCAACCGGGGAGGGUCAUUGGAAACUGGGAGACUUGAGUGCAGAAGAGGAGAGUGGAAUUCCAUGUGUAGCGGUGAAAUGCGUAGAUAUAUGGAGGAACACCAGUGGCGAAGGCGGCUCUCUGGUCUGUAACUGACGCUGA
Molecule: ribosomal RNA, 707 nt
Filed under: Enterococcus mundtii
Lineage: Bacteria; Bacillati; Bacillota; Bacilli; Lactobacillales; Enterococcaceae
Description: bacterial SSU rRNA
Rfam family: Bacterial small subunit ribosomal RNA
Source: RNAcentral